GCGGAAUCUACUUUCGUAGUAACCUCACACAUGUUUUGUGUCGUCUCAUGCGAUGAAGAGUUGAAGACGGGUACAGCGUCCGGUGUAGAAGAAGAAUCUAUAUAACGGAGGUGGCAGUGGCGGCUAAAUUAAGAACUUAGAUGCGAACUAGACCGGUGAUAGGGUCAAGAGAGGAACUGCUAUCAUUAUGUUUCAGAGAGAGGUUUGCGAAUUGGGAAUCAAGAUCUCUACUGCUAGAGCAUUGAUAGCUAGACGACGGCUGCUGUUGAUUUUGCUGCUGGUACAUGACUCGUAACCGACCGAUCUCCCUCUCCAAUACCUCCUGCUCAACUGAGAAGAAACAUGAAUGCCUAAUUCAGUCUUUAUUCAAUAAAUUUUUAUUCGAAUCAAUUAAAACAAUUACAGUUCAUAGCAACAUAGAUCAAUGAUGGGCCAUUAGCCACAUUGACCUUUUUCUAUCAUGCUUUUGGAAGAUCUAAUACAUUGUUAAGAGAACCUGCUAUGUCGAUAUGAUAAGUUUUUUUUAAUCAACCAACUAUGAAAAGUUAAAAAAUAUUACCCAUCUAUUCGAAUUUUUCUUUUUCGGUCACCAGCCAUGGGAAGGUAACUUGACAGCUUUUAAAAUUAACAUAAUAACAACUUUAACCCUCAACAUUUAUAUACUAUGUGAAUUUAGUCACGAUUUUAAAAAAUUUAACUCUCAACGUUUACACAUUGUGUAGCUUGGUCUACUUUUUUUAAAAAAUAUUUUUCUUUAUGUCAUUCACUUAAAAAGUAAAAACCAAAAAAAAAAAAACAAAUUUAUCAAAAAUAUACUAAAAAUGAAAACACUCGGAAGUCCAAGAUAAUAUUUUUUAUCUUUUUUCGUUCUUUUAAAAUUUACCCUCGAUAUCACAAAUAAAAGUAAAACUGCAAAAAGAAAAAGAAAAUUUAUACAGUGUAUAAAUGUUGAGGGUUAAUUGGUGAUAAAAAAAACAAAAGUGAAUAAUUGGGUGACCAUUUGUAACUUUUCAUAGAUGGUGAUUAAAAAAGAAAUUUACUAAUAAUUGAAUUACUACCAGUGUAGUUCAACUUAAAAUAUUCAUGUCCGACACCCAUAUAUGACGCAUAUCCAAACAUGGAUAUGGGGCUACAACCCUCCAAAGGCACUCCAAAUAUAAGGAAAAGCCCAAGGGACAUCUACUCAUAUCCAACGCUCAUACCCGAGUCCCAUUUGUGCUCUCGAGGAAGGGGGAAAAUCAAAUUUUCCAAGCAUAGAACAAAACCAAAAGAAUAUGACAUGGACCCCCCCCCCCCCCUUAACAUGAAGAGAAAACUAGUAAAAGUGGCUCAAACUAUCUGAAAAAUGAACUCUCCGGUGAUUUUUCAGAUCAAAGUUUCUACUCCCUGGAUUUAUCACACCUCUCGUAUUGCCAAUUCAUACAGGUCGAAAAUAUGGAGUAUAUACAAAUAAUUAGAAGGUAAAAAGAAAAAAAAAGUGAAAAGCGAUACAUAAUACGUAAUGCAGAAAAAAGAAAUCUAAUCAUAGCUUUAGAAGUCAUGGGUUCAAUGCUUACGAUAUUUGAUAGCUUGUUCUUGAGCUAAACUCUCUAAACGUUGCUUAAGAGCUUUGUUCUCCAUGCUAAGAAUAAGAUUCUGCUGGUUGAGAAAUUCGAGCUCAGCUGAAACUUCAGACCCUUCUGCCUGUUAUUUAAGAACCACAUUUCAUACUUCCAUAUUGAGGCAUAUACCGAUCCAUAACUUCUAAGUCAAUUUCAAAUGUAAAUAAAUGUUUAAAAUUUCGAUUUGCACAAACUCUUGCCUGCAAGGCUUGUACAUUUCUUUCGAGCUCAGCUAUGUACUGGAGUUUACGCCCCCUUGAGCGUUGAGCAAACUGCCUGGAUAAGACAAUAACAAAAGUACUGUAAUCAAACAUAAGAAAACAUAAUACGUAUUACUGUUAUGCUUCCAUAAGUAUCUAUGCAUGAAAAACCUGCUAACAGACAAUACAAAAGCAGGCUCAUAUACCUUGAUCCUGUAUGUGCAUGAAAAAAAAUAGUAGCACAAUAGCCAACUAGUGUUAUUCGUUGAGCUCGUAAAAUGUAACUUUUAAAUGAUAUUUGAUAACAGUGUGAGAUUCGGCUCAAAGUAAGCACAAGCAGGGAACAAAAAAUAGCACAGAGGCCCUUGUAACCAGGAGAACACUGUAGGUUGCUUUACUGUAAUUGUAAUGUAAUUCAAUUGUGAAACAAUAAAAUGGCAACUCACUGCUUCGCACGUUUUGAGUCGGUGUCAGAUGAAGAAGACUUAGUGUGAGAAUUAUCCUUUUUCUCGGAAGAACCUUUUGCAUCAGGAGAUGCAGAUUCAGCAGAAUCUUUUUUCUCACUUGCUGUUGAUGGCGGAGCCUCCGGUUCUUCCAGUGUACAUGAUGAUCCUAAACCUUGGAUAAACGUGCUUUCUCUAAGAGAAGGUGAAUCCCAUGCCCUAUUUUUUUGCUUUACCAAGUUUACAUUGGCAUGGAAAGAGUUAACCCGAGCAUCUUUCUGAUUGUGAUGAUCAAAGUCCUGAUGUGUCCAAGAAGGUGAGGAAAUCAUACUUUUAUAUCUGCAUUCAUCCUGAGCUCCGUAAUCUAGGUUAGGUGCAUUGGAUACAUCAAUGAAUGCAAAAGAAUCACUAGAUGAACAUCGAUGACGGCCUUUGUACAUAGGACUCCCUGGUUCGUUAAGGAGAUUGUCAAGCCAAGAAGGUUGUUCCUCUAUCAGAUGACUUUCAGAGGAAGUAUGCUGGUGGUACGUACUUCCCACUCUAGACUUUUGAAUCACUUUUGAUCCAAUUACAUUGUUCGGGAUAUAAUCGGUAUACACAGGGGAGGCUAUAGGAAGAGGACUUUUAGGAGGAAGCAAAGCGUGUUUUCCGGCAAACAUCAAAUUUCUUAUAUUUGUUGACCCCUUCGAAUUCGCAAUGACCAAGGACAACCAGUUCCUGCAAAGUAACAUAUAAGAGAGACUGAUCAUGUAGUACCCUUGUUAUAUAGCAGAUAAUGAUCUAAACAUCAAAAUAUCCAUGUUCGAUGCACAAUAUAUGCGUAACAACGAGACAUUCCAGUAAAUAUUCACGAAAACAAACUAAAAGAUCACACAAGAACAUUAAAAAAAAAAUCAUGAAUUAUACAUUGCAUACAUAUUUCAACUUAUCGAGCAAUCACUGAAUUUUGUACCUUCAUAGCUUGUAAUAGCUAUUGUGCCCUUUCCCUUGACUUCUAAGUACUCACCAUUUCCAAUCCUCACUCUUUUGACUUCAGUGUUUCUCAAUUCCUCGAAGAGCUCCUUGUCAUACAUCAUGUGAUUUGUGCACCCACUGUCAAUCAACCAGCUCUCACUUGAUUCUCUUCCUGAGAAACAAGUAACCACGAACAAUUGAUCUUCGUUCAACUCAGAACCAAGCAAUCUCACCUUGUUGGCAAUGCUGAGAAGUCUGUCAGAAUAUUCUUUCACUGACUCAGACUCCUUCAUCUUCUGUAACUCGAAAUCCCCGAUUAGAUUCAGGACUUUCAUUCCACGAAUCCUUUCAUCUCCUUCGUACUCAGCCUUGAGGUAAUCCCAGAUUUCCUUUGCUGAUUUCAGAGACAUUAUUCGUGUGAAAAUCAUUUGAGACUCUGUUGCAAAUAAGCAAGCUUUUGCCUUUGAUUUCCUUGUCUUCUUUUCCUUUUGUGCUAUAAUCUGUGUCACAGUAGGAUUUGCUGGAAGUGGUGGGACCUCGUAAUCCUCUUCUACAAGUUCCCAAAGAUCUAAAGCCUCCAGGUAAGUCUUCAUGCGAACUGCCCACAUCUGGUAAUUGUCUCCAUCGAAGACUGGUGGUGCAGCAACUAAAAAACUGGACCCUCCUCCCAUCUUAACACGCAAAUAACCUCACAGAUCCCUGAAGAAAAUAACUCCGAUAGCAAUUUGUUGGUGAUUAGAACUCGAACUUUGACGAUUGAUCGAGAGAUUUGAAGCAGAAAGAAGAGAAAAGAAGUUUUAAGAUAGAAAAUAAUUAAAGACUGGAAUAAUAAUUGAUUUGCAAUUCAACAAUUUAAAUAUAAAAGUUCAAGACUAAAAAUAGAAAAAGAGUUCUAAAAAAUUGGCUAAAAUUCUGGUAACAAUAUACCAAACAAAUCAAGAAACUAAGCUCCUAAAGUCAAAGGAGAAUUAUUUAAACUUAGUAACAAAAAAAAUUAAAUGGCAGCAAUAAACACAUGAUCUCAACACUUUCUAAGAAGCAUAGCAACUUUUGGUAUACAUUUGAGCAGAACUUGAGUAAUUAUCACCAUGGCCCUUGACAACUUCAAUUUUAUAAUGUGGACCUGUAACUGUAUCAUCGUCUUUGUAAAGAACAAUAACAUCACCGGUAUUUAACCGUUUGAACCGGACAAAUUGGAUCCAACCGGAAACUAUGUCGAGUUUCGGAACAACCCCAGAUCGUAUAGUGCAAUAAAAGUUCCAUGAGAUUCCGACAUCAUCUUUAACCUGCAACUUUUCUCCUCCAUGGCUCCGUUGUGAUUGUUGCAAAGCUUGUAAGCAGCUGUCUGGUAACGAUAGUGUUCUUUCGAUGUCGAUUUUUGUGAGAACUUUAAAGAAACUUGCCAUGUUUGAACUGAAAAGUGGUCAAGUUUAUGCUUAUACUCCUAAAGAGAAAGAGAACGAGAACGAGACUGGAUUGAAAAUUGAAAACGCCAGAUAAAAUAAAACGAGGGAUCGUGCGUUUGUGAUUUGGGGUCUUUUUUAUUGAUUUUUGUUGGAUUAAAGAAAAAAAAAAGUUCUUACAUGUGGUUGUCAUUAGGUCAAAUGUCUUCUUUAAUAAUCAAAGUUGGUCGCUCGAGAUUUCGCAACCCAAUGGCUGUUACCUGCACUGUCGCGCGGCACCUUUUUUUUUUUUAAUUUUGUCCACUGAGUUUUAAUUUUAAUUUAAUUGAUAUUUUAUUGCAAUCAAUGUUAAUUGGAUUCGCAUAUAUUUGAUUGGUGAUACUAAUGAAUUUUUUAGAUGAGUGGUAUGUUUAUUUUCAGUUAUGAUAAAAAUAAUGAUAACAGUGAUAAGAUUAGAUAAUAUAACGUGAGAGAAAAAAAAUUAAACGCACUGUACUAGAAUUCACCGCCCAUCCAAAAGGAACUAAGAAUCAGUCAAAUAAAUGGGUUGAAUUAGUAAUCACUCGGAAUUAAUAAAUAAAAAUAAAAAAUUAAGAUUAAAAUUAAUGGUUGAAUCUAUUUUUAUAAAAUUUUUAAUAUUUUCUAUUAAUUUAUUUUAUCAUUGUUGGUUGAAUAAGGAUAGAAAUUGACGGUUGAACAUCGAAUAAAGAAUUAGUGAUCUGAUCAAUACAAUGUAAAAAAUUGUAGUAACUUGAACUCAAUCGAAUUUUAUUUUUGUGAUUUGAUUUAUAUUUAAUUUUUUUUAUGAUGUAAAAAUAAAUAUUUUAUAUUUAUAAUAGUGAAAAUAAAUUAAAUGGUAUUUGUUAGAAUGAGUUAACGUAGUUUUUAAACCCUAAACCCAAUUUCAGUUCAAGCAAUACAAAUGUUUAAUGGUAUUUGCUCAAGAGAAGCUGAACAUUCACCAUACAUAGAUUGGGAAUAUGGAAGUUGAAAGAGUAAUCAAAUGGAUCUAAUUAUGAAAAUGGUGAACCUAAUUUCUUCUUCCUGCUCCAAUUGCAGAAACCGAGAAAGGGUCGUCUCGGCUUUUGGGGUAUGCGGAAUCUACUUUCGUAGUAACCUCACACAUGUUUUGUGUCAUCUCAUGCGAUGAAGAGUUGAAGACGGGUACAACGUCCGGUGUAGAAGAAGAAUCUAUAUAACGGAGGUCGCAGUGGCGGCUAAAUUAAGAACUUAGAUGCGAACUGGACCGAUGAUAGGGUCAAGAGAGGAACUGCUAUCAUUAUGUUUCAGAGAGAGGUUUGCGAAUUGGGAAUCAAGAUCUCUACUGCUAGAGCAUUGAUGGCUAGACGACGACUGCUGUUGAUUUUGCUGCUGG
This 5976-nucleotide long non-coding RNA is filed under the name Gossypium barbadense (sea-island cotton). Its description in RNAcentral is "long non-coding RNA (GBAR_LNC015833)". Lineage: Eukaryota; Viridiplantae; Streptophyta; Magnoliopsida; Malvales; Malvaceae. The record is from RNAcentral.